GGUAUUGUGGCUCAGUGGGUAGAGCGCCCUUCUAGCAUGGGCGAGGCCCUGGGUUCCAUCCUCAGCACCA
RNAcentral lists this transfer RNA (70 nucleotides) under Marmota monax (woodchuck). It matches the Rfam family "tRNA". Rfam says of the family: Transfer RNA (tRNA) molecules are approximately 80 nucleotides in length. Their secondary structure includes four short double-helical elements and three loops (D, anti-codon, and T loops). Further hydrogen bonds mediate the characteristic L-shaped molecular structure. tRNAs have two regions of fundamental functional importance: the anti-codon, which is responsible for specific mRNA codon recognition, and the 3' end, to which the tRNAs corresponding amino acid is attached (by aminoacyl-tRNA synthetases). tRNAs cope with the degeneracy of the genetic code in two manners: having more than one tRNA (with a specific anti-codon) for a particular amino acid; and 'wobble' base-pairing, i.e. permitting non-standard base-pairing at the 3rd anti-codon position. The record is from Rfam by way of RNAcentral. Lineage: Eukaryota; Metazoa; Chordata; Mammalia; Rodentia; Sciuridae.